Strigops habroptila (Kakapo) is the source of this 1683-nucleotide long non-coding RNA. NCBI's taxonomy places the organism in Eukaryota, Metazoa, Chordata, Aves, Psittaciformes, Psittacidae. The record is from Ensembl.
UUAGUUCAGCAUAUGGGAUCUCUCAGCAAAUGGACAUUCCUUUUUAACAGAAAUGCUUCACCUGGGAAAUACUCCAAAUUGCCCAUUUUACUUUGUCCUCUGCUGCAGGGCAAAACGACAUGAACACCUCCUGUUGAUUUCCUAUUUCCCGCUUUUAAAGAACCAGUGUUCUUGGUAUUGCUAUAUAAAGCGUAUGAAUUACUACAUUUUUUUCUCAGAAAACAAGAAAAAUCAAACACUUCUUGUUUAAAACUCCUUGAGAGGAAAGCUGCCUGUGCAGGGAACAAAACCAGGCAUAUAGGAGUGUUUACCAGCUUUAACAGCUGCCUUCCAUUUUAAUGAAACAACAAAAAAAAUACUUUAAUCUACAAUGAAUGAAAAAGUGUAAUUCAGCUCUGAAAAAGGACUAGAAUGGCAAAGUGUCUGAUGCUGAUCAUUCACUUAACUAACUUUACAAGCAAAAAAUGUUUCAGGUGAUUACCAAGGCUUCAUCCUAUUCUGGGACACUGCAUUCAGGUUGUUCCCACUCUCGCAUGUCAUUCAGAAUAACAAAAUCCUACAGGUCAAAUUUAACUGCCUGCUUCUUUACACAUUCCCUUUAUACUCAGCACAGUCAAAACCAAAAAGCAAAGCAAAAGAAGAUCCAGACUUUGAAUCAGAAGUUAAUAGUUCUGCCUAAGGUGCAACAGCCAGAGAACAGGGUUCUGCUCUUUCCUCAACCAGUUCAAUACUGCCUUAUUAAAAAAUAAUGAUGGGAUUAGUUGUUAAUAGGAAAAAAUCUGAUUAUCAGGAAAGCUGACUGAGUACAGUCACCUCUUCAAUAUAAAACUAUGCUUUAACCAACGUGUAUGAGCUACACAAUACCUGUGGAAAUGUGCAUACUAAGUAUGUACAAAAACAUCCACUGUGCUUACCCAUAGAACAGCAGGACCCUUCCCCCAGUGCAGGUCAGAAGCAGCGCACUGAGCUAUGUUGAAACUUGUGUAUAAGCAGCCAGUCAGUUGAAAUGACUGGUGGUGUUCUAUGCAAAACCGAAUUCCCAGGUUUUAGAUCUAGGAAUGCAAGCUUCAAGAACUGCAGACUGCCCAAGCUAAUCCAGUCAUCACUUCUACAAUAAUUAUACAGGAAAUGUUGUGAUUAUUAGCACCAAUAAAGAGAAAAACUUCAGAAGAUUUUCUUUAACGCUGCAUUUUAGAGAUAAUGUGCUUUGCUUUAAUAUCCAGUUAAAACGUCAAGGAAAUCCGAAAUAUGGAAGAGUGUAAUUCAAUACCAGCUCAACAGAUUUUGGCAGUGUAAAAUCCACUGUUGGCACACUGUUCAGCAGAGCCAUUUUUACAGGAAAACAUCUUUCAUCUAUUUAUAAAAAGCCUGAGGUUGAUUAAGAGAUGCAACAUUGCAAGCCUUCCUAAACUUUGCUCUUGUAGGUGAGUAUCUAUUAUAUUCACUGUAAUAAAAAGGACAUGUUGAAGUACCCUGCACUGCAGUAAAUUUAUAAGACUGGAUGCAGCACAUGAGACUUUCCGGUUGAAGUUGCAAAAGUGCUCAGUGGCUCACCUUACUCAUUAACUAUGUGCUACACAUAGUUAAUGCAGAGAAUGUGGAGAAUGUAGAGAAACAGAGAAGAACCAUGGCAUAUUAAGAACAAAUGUACAGCAAUAAACUAAUACUCAGUAAAAACCACAA